This 547-nucleotide long non-coding RNA is filed under the name Fukomys damarensis (Damara mole-rat). RNAcentral describes it as "lncRNA (ENSFDAG00000021616.1)". The record is from RNAcentral. Lineage: Eukaryota; Metazoa; Chordata; Mammalia; Rodentia; Bathyergidae.
AUUUUUCUGUGAAUAAAAUGAUAGGGUGAGAGGAGGACAUAGCAUUUCUGUUUGGAACAGAAGCCUGCCUGACUAGUGGAAGAUGAGAUUUCAAGACAGAAGAAUUAAGAAAAACUAUAGGCACUCCUGGAAUGAAGGAAACUCGGCAUCAGACUUCAGGGAGACUAAGAGGAUAGAGGCGUUCUAUCACGUGAAAGGGAAACGAGAAAGGAAUGUGUCUAAACUGCUGUGGGUGCCUGGAAUCCCUUUCUGUUGGAUGAGUGCGCUGAUUAUAGCCACACAACACACGAGAUGCCGAACUAUGAGAUUCAUGUUGGGCACCAGUCACGCACUUGCUAUUGAGUGUGUGCGUUGCUUCUGUGCUGUGCCUGAGCUGUGAUUGGUCACUCAGCAGCAAGCCUCCUGCUCACCUGCACACAGGUAUUCACCUCUCCUCCAGAGGCAUCUGCUUGGGAAUUUAUAAAUGCUGAAUUAUGAUUUAUAUUAUCAUUUAAGUAUUAACGCCAAUAACAUCACCUGAUCAUCUUCAAUUAUAAAUAUUAUUUUU